GGAGAGAUGGCUGAGCGGCUUAAAGCGCUUGCCUGCUAAGCAAGAGUUCUUUAAAUGGGACGCGAGGGUUCGAAUCCCUCUCUCUCCACCA
RNAcentral lists this transfer RNA (91 nucleotides) under bacterium. RNAcentral describes it as "tRNA-Ser". It matches the Rfam family "tRNA". From Rfam's summary of the family: Transfer RNA (tRNA) molecules are approximately 80 nucleotides in length. Their secondary structure includes four short double-helical elements and three loops (D, anti-codon, and T loops). The record is from RNAcentral.